GGGGUCAUCCUGCCUGUGUUGCGUUGCGCCCGUGGGUCCACCUCCCUGGAGUCUUUCCACCUCCACCUCAACCGCUUCAUUCCUGGAACAAGUGCGUCUGCCGAGCACUUUCAGGCCUACCUCCUUGAAGGGUUGGUUCGGUGGAAUGAGGACCGUGCCGAAGCUGCAGCGGAGGGGGGGGGACAGAAGCAGACCCUGCACUGCUAUGAUGGUGUAGCCCAGCACGCCAUCAAUGAGCUGAGCCAGAAGCUCCUGGGCCGCAGUCUUGUGAAGGAUCACACAAGGCCUGCAAAGUACACUGGGGAACUCAUUGGGGUCGAGUAUCUCUUCUCCCAGACCCAUGGUGACCAGAGGU
Molecule: long non-coding RNA, 355 nt
Organism: Salvelinus namaycush (lake trout)
Lineage: Eukaryota; Metazoa; Chordata; Actinopteri; Salmoniformes; Salmonidae
Exons: 3
Source: RefSeq, a predicted model, not a curated record